Molecule: ribosomal RNA, 311 nt
Filed under: uncultured bacterium
Lineage: Bacteria
Description: bacterial SSU rRNA
Rfam family: Bacterial small subunit ribosomal RNA
Source: RNAcentral
GACGAACGCUGGCGGCGCGCCUAACACAUGCAAGUCGAACGAGCGAGAGAGAGCUUACUUUCUUGAGCGAGUGGCGAACGGGUGAGUAACGCGUGAGGAACCUGCCUCAAAGAGGGGGACAACAGUUGGAAACGACUGCUAAUACCGCAUAAGCCCACGACCCGGCAUCGGGUUGAGGGAAAAGGAGCAAUCCGCUUUGAGAUGGCCUCGCGUCCGAUUAGCUAGUUGGCGGGGUAACGGCCCACCAAGGCGACGAUCAGUAGCCGGACUGAGAGGUUGAACGGCCACAUUGGGACUGAGACACGGCCCAG